CCUACGGGAGGCAGCAGUAGGGAAUCUUCCACAAUGGACGAAAGUCUGAUGGAGCAACGCCGCGUGAGUGAAGAAGGGUUUCGGCUCGUAAAGCUCUGUUGGUAGUGAAGAAAGAUAGAGGUAGUAAUUGGCAUUGAAUUGACGGUAACUACUUAGAAAGCCACGGCUAACUACGUGCCAGCAGCCGCGGUAAUACGUAGGGUGCAAGCGGUGACCGGAUGUAUUGGGCGUAAAGCGAGUGCAGGCGGUAAAAUAAGUCUGAUGUGAAAGCCGUCGGCUCAACCGGAGAAUUGCAUCAGAAACUGUUGAACUUGAGUGCAGGAGAGGAUAGUGGAACUCCAUGUGUAGCGGUGGAAUGCGUAGAUAUAUGGAAGAACACCAGUGGCGAAGGCGGCUCUCUGGUCUGCAACUGACGCUGAGGCUCGAAAGCGUGGGUAGCGAACAGGAUUAGAUACCCGGGUAGUC
This 465-nucleotide ribosomal RNA is filed under the name uncultured bacterium. RNAcentral's name for it is "partial 16S ribosomal RNA". It matches the Rfam family "Bacterial small subunit ribosomal RNA", at positions 338 to 795 of the family's 1533-position model. The record is from RNAcentral.